CCAAUAGCGUAUAUUAAAGUUGUUGCAGUUAAAAAGCUCGUAGUUGAAUUUCGGGGUUAGUAGGUUGGUCAUGCCUCUGGUAUGUACUGGUCUCACUGAUUCCUCCUUCCUGAUGAACCUUAAUGCCAUUAAUUUGGUGUUUUGGGGAAUUUGGACUGUUACUUUGAAAAAAUUAGAGUGUUUAAAGCAAGCUAACGCUUGAAUACAUUA
This 210-nucleotide ribosomal RNA is filed under the name uncultured Glomus. Its description in RNAcentral is "partial small subunit ribosomal RNA". It matches the Rfam family "Eukaryotic small subunit ribosomal RNA", at positions 591 to 806 of the family's 1831-position model. Lineage: Eukaryota; Fungi; Glomeromycota; Glomeromycetes; Glomerales; Glomeraceae. The record is from RNAcentral.